AAUAUAAGAUAUAGAUAUUACCUUUAACUCUUGAUUUUUUCAACUCCUUGCAAAAACUAAGUCAUGCCAAUUAUUCCAUAAAAACAUAACAGGAAAUGCCUACAAGAUAAGAAAGAAUCACAAUAGAAAAGAACAAAUCAAUAGAUCAGUGCCAAAGAAUAGUAUCACUUUUACUUAUGAUAUAUACUAAGCAUUAGACACAUUUUCUAAUUCUACCAAAUGCUAACUAAAGACAAACAAAAGGGUAUGCUCUAAGCUAAAGACAAACAAAACUUAUAUACUCACAAUAAAUGGUGUCUGACAAUACAUCACGUUCAAUUUAAAUUUUCCACAUGCUAACUUAAGGGUUCAAGAAACCAACCAUAUUAUUUCAAACUUUAACUUCUCGCAUGACAAAUAGAAAAUUCAUUUGAUUAAAGCAACCAAUCCUUAGUGCCAUUGAGUUUGUAAUAUAUCCUGAAAUUUAUGAUAAUAAUCAAUGUCUGUCUAUUGAUAGAACUUGAGAAUAGUAUAUCAUUUCAAUCAGUUG
This 529-nucleotide long non-coding RNA is filed under the name Trifolium pratense (red clover). Its description in RNAcentral is "long non-coding RNA (TPRA_LNC007018)". Lineage: Eukaryota; Viridiplantae; Streptophyta; Magnoliopsida; Fabales; Fabaceae. The record is from RNAcentral.